Molecule: long non-coding RNA, 330 nt
Organism: Sitophilus oryzae (rice weevil)
Lineage: Eukaryota; Metazoa; Arthropoda; Insecta; Coleoptera; Curculionidae
Exons: 2
Source: RefSeq, a predicted model, not a curated record
UAUAUUUUGUAAUUGCCUAUCAGACAAUACGUAUUUAGAAAAAUAAUAAGAAUUAGGAUCGUGUUUUUUUUAAAUCCUGGAUAUUAAUUGGAACCCUUGGUAACAUUACUGCUUUUGAUAUAAAAAGUGCAUUUUGAUUAUUUACUUGGGUUAGGAUAUUAAAAUAUCGGUUGGAUUGUACGACAUAAAUAGAUGUAGUUUUUGAUCAGACAUUUGAUUUUAUUUGUGAAAUGCCCACAAAAAAGCUUCCAAUGAUUCAACAUCAGUGUGUUUGCUGCAUAAUGGAUCAUUCCUGCUGAAUUUUUAGAUCAUUUGAAGACUACAUGGAAA